This 301-nucleotide ribosomal RNA is filed under the name uncultured bacterium. RNAcentral describes it as "partial 16S ribosomal RNA". It matches the Rfam family "Bacterial small subunit ribosomal RNA", at positions 509 to 807 of the family's 1533-position model. The record is from RNAcentral.
CAGUCGCCGCGGGAAUACAGAGGGUGCGAGCGUUAAUCGGAUUUACUGGGCGUAAAGCGUGCGUAGGCGGCUUCUUAAGUCGGAUGUGAAAUCCCUGAGCUUAACUUAGGAAUUGCAUUCGAUACUGGAUAGCUAGAGAUCGGUAGAGGGCAGCGGAAUUCCGGGUGUAGCGGUGAAAUGCGUAGAUAUCCGGAGGAACACCGAUGGCGAAGGCAACUGCCUGGGCCUGAUCUGACACUGAGGCACGAAAGCGUGGGUAGCAAACAGGAUUAGAUACCCGAGUAGUCCCUGUCUCUUAUAC